AUUGAACGCUGGCGGCAGGCCUAACACAUGCAAGUCGAGCGGAUGAAGGGAGCUUGCUCCUGGAUUCAGCGGCGGACGGGUGAGUAAUGCCUAGGAAUCUGCCUGGUAGUGGGGUAUAACGUCCGGAAACGGGCGCUAAUACCGCAUACGUCCUGAGUGAGAAAGGGGGGGAUCUUCGGACCUCACGCUAUCAGAUGAUCCUAGGUCGGAUUAGCUAGUUGGUGGGGUAAAGGCCUACCAAGGCGACGAUCCGUAACUGGUCUGAGAGGAUGAUCAGUCACACUGGAACUGAGACACGGUCCAGACUCCUACGGGAGGCAGCAGUGGGGAAUAUUGGACAAUGGGCGAAAGCCUGAUCCAGCCAUGCCGCGUGUGUGAAGAAGGUCUUCGGAUUGUAAAGCACUUUAAGUUGGGAGGAAGGGCAGUAAGUUAAUACCUUGCGGUUUUGACGUUACCAACAGAAUAAGCACCGGCUAACUUCGUG
RNAcentral lists this ribosomal RNA (484 nucleotides) under uncultured bacterium. RNAcentral's name for it is "partial 16S ribosomal RNA". It matches the Rfam family "Bacterial small subunit ribosomal RNA", at positions 30 to 507 of the family's 1533-position model. The record is from RNAcentral.